UACGUAGGGUGCAAGCGUUAAUCGGAAUUACUGGGCGUAAAGCGUGCGCAGGCGGUUAUGCAAGACAGAUGUGAAAUCCCCGGGCUCAACCUGGGAACUGCAUCUGUGACUGCAUCGCUGGAGUGCGGCAGAGGGGGAUGGAAUUCCGCGUGUAGCAGUGAAAUGCGUAGAUAUGCGGAGGAACACCGAUGGCGAAGGCAAUCCCCUGGGCCUGCACUGACGCUCAUGCACGAAAGCGUGGGGAGCAAACAGG
This 253-nucleotide ribosomal RNA is filed under the name uncultured bacterium. Its description in RNAcentral is "partial 16S ribosomal RNA". It matches the Rfam family "Bacterial small subunit ribosomal RNA", at positions 524 to 776 of the family's 1533-position model. The record is from RNAcentral.